Gossypium arboreum is the source of this 1036-nucleotide long non-coding RNA. RefSeq lists it as uncharacterized. The transcript has 2 exons. Lineage: Eukaryota; Viridiplantae; Streptophyta; Magnoliopsida; Malvales; Malvaceae. The record is from RefSeq and is a predicted model, not a curated record.
AUCAAAAAAAAAAAUCGUCUCAAUCGGACAACCGAGCGAAAAGUUAUGGCCUUUCAAAGUUUUCGAAGCUAAAAUACAUAAACUGUUGAUGAAUUACUAAUUCAAAACUCACCGUUUCAAUUGUUUCCACCACGCACCGUUUCAAUUGAUUUUACAGAUCCCGCCUCUAAUCCUCCCAAAAUUUGACAUCCCUCCAACUCUACACAACGAUUCAAAAUGUUUUCCUUUUUCUUUUAUUUUUCAUUCUUUUCUGUUUGUCAAUUUCCUUUGUAGGAUUUUAUGUUACGUUAUUUCUGCUAUUUCAUUCCUUUAAGCUGUUUCUAUAUGAGAUUUUCUUAAGGUUCAUAAGUGUUUCAUUCUUGGAAUUUUUCCGAGUGUUCGGUUCUCUCCUACGGUAGCCAUAGGAUCAGUACCUGUUAUAUUCGGAGGAGCCAAAUGUUGAUUGUGUCGGUGGAUGAACGGUGAUUCGUUGAAUUUCCGGUUAAACUACCUUUUCAGUGGUGAAGUGCUCUUUUCUCUCCAUCACGUUUGCUGUAGGUUAUGGUGUUUUACUGAUGUUUCAUGGCCCAUGACGAAAAGGAGAGAAUGAUCAUGGCUGAAAUGAUAUGGACAUACCUAAUUAAGACCCGAAACAUGGCCCAGCCCACCUUUACCGCUGCGUAAAGUCAGUGGCUUGCCCUUCUCCCAAGUUUUCCCCAAAAUAAAACUCUUGCUCUCUUGCUCUUGCUCCACCGUCCGAAAGCGCUUGAGGUUAGUCUUUCUUCUUCUUUUUUAAAUUUAUUUAUUUGCUUCGUCAAUGUUCUUGUUUCGGUCUGUAACGAUGCUUAAAUCUUUUUUGAAAUUUAAGCAACUGUCCACUGAAAGAAGGUUUCACACUGUCGCUUCCGACUUGAAAAUGGCGGUUGAUUUAUCUAUAUUUUUGCUCCAUUACAUGAUCGGGAACUUAAGGGUUCCUGCUUUAGGGUUUUUCUAUCGUUUAAUUUUGGGAUAAUUGAUGAGUAUGUUUAAGGGAUGAGAGAAAAGAAUUUAAAAGAAA